This 460-nucleotide ribosomal RNA is filed under the name uncultured bacterium. Its description in RNAcentral is "partial 16S ribosomal RNA". It matches the Rfam family "Bacterial small subunit ribosomal RNA", at positions 338 to 795 of the family's 1533-position model. The record is from RNAcentral.
CCUACGGGUGGCAGCAGUGAGGAAUAUUGGUCAAUUGACGAGAGUCUGAACCAGCCAAGUAGCGUGAAGGAUGACUGCCCUAUGGGUUGUAAACUUCUUUUAUAUGGGACUAAAAUGUUCCACGUGUGGGAUUUUGUAUGUACCAUAUGAAUAAGGAUCGGCUAACUCCGUGCCAGCAGCCGCGGUAAUACGGAGGAUCCGAGCGUUAUCCGGAUUUAUUGGGUUUAAAGGGAGCGUAGGUGGAUUGUUAAGUCAGUUGUGAAAGUUUGCGGCUCAACCGUAAAAUUGCAGUUGAAACUGGCAGUCUUGAGUACAGUAGAGGUGGGCGGAAUUCGUGGUGUAGCGGUGAAAUGCUUAGAUAUCACGAAGAACUCCGAUUGCGAAGGCAGUUCACUGGACUGCAACUGACACUGAGGCUCGAAAGUGUGGGUAUCAAACAGGAUUAGAUACCCUUGUAGUC